RNAcentral lists this ribosomal RNA (585 nucleotides) under Bacillus pumilus. Its description in RNAcentral is "bacterial SSU rRNA". It matches the Rfam family "Bacterial small subunit ribosomal RNA", at positions 173 to 747 of the family's 1533-position model. The record is from RNAcentral. Lineage: Bacteria; Bacillati; Bacillota; Bacilli; Caryophanales; Bacillaceae. RNAcentral also lists the same sequence under 1 other name.
UUCCUUGAACCGCAUGGUUCAAGGAUGAAAGACGGUUUCGGCUGUCACUUACAGAUGGACCCGCGGCGCAUUAGCUAGUUGGUGGGGUAAUGGCUCACCAAGGCGACGAUGCGUAGCCGACCUGAGAGGGUGAUCGGCCACACUGGGACUGAGACACGGCCCAGACUCCUACGGGAGGCAGCAGUAGGGAAUCUUCCGCAAUGGACGAAAGUCUGACGGAGCAACGCCGCGUGAGUGAUGAAGGUUUUCGGAUCGUAAAGCUCUGUUGUUAGGGAAGAACAAGUGCGAGAGUAACUGCUCGCACCUUGACGGUACCUAACCAGAAAGCCACGGCUAACUACGUGCCAGCAGCCGCGGUAAUACGUAGGUGGCAAGCGUUGUCCGGAAUUAUUGGGCGUAAAGGGCUCGCAGGCGGUUUCUUAAGUCUGAUGUGAAAGCCCCCGGCUCAACCGGGGAGGGUCAUUGGAAACUGGGAAACUUGAGUGCAGAAGAGGAGAGUGGAAUUCCACGUGUAGCGGUGAAAUGCGUAGAGAUGUGGAGGAACACCAGUGGCGAAAGGCGACUCUCUGGUCUGUAACUGACGCU